Elaeis guineensis (African oil palm) is the source of this 784-nucleotide RNA transcript. RefSeq lists it as uncharacterized. The record is from RefSeq and is a predicted model, not a curated record. NCBI's taxonomy places the organism in Eukaryota, Viridiplantae, Streptophyta, Magnoliopsida, Arecales, Arecaceae.
CUUGUUGGCAGCUGUUAGGACACAAUUGUCACCAAAUGCAGAUUCCCUCUUCUUUGCCAGGACUCAUUGACUACAUGUCUGGUCCUAUGGUAGAGAAGAAAUUGAAAUGCUUGUUGGCAUGUGUAGCAUGGUUGAUAUGGCUCGCAAGAUGUGCUAGAAUUUAUUCUCAUACCUCCUCCAAUCCACAGAACAUUUUACGACAAGCCUCUUUGAUCUCUCAGGUUACCAGUGCAUCAGCACUGGGGUUGACCCGAUCCCACUAAUCCCACAACACAACCUCCUAUGGUUGGCUGGUUACCCCCUCCGGCUGGCACUCUUAAAAUUAACUUUGAUGCAUCAGUGACAAAAGACAAAGCGGUGGUGGCUUAUGUUAUGAGAAAUUACAAGGGUGAGUUAAUCCUUGCAGGAGGCAAAUCCUUUAUUUCUUCUUCUGUGCCUUGGACUGAAUUCUUGGCUGCCUGGUUAGGUGUCAAAGCAGCAAUCUUGUAUUUAAAUGCAUCAAAAAUCUGGUUGGAAGAUUUAAAGAACUGGAGAAGGAGAUGCUCUUCAUUCAAUAUUUCCCAUACACACAGGGAAGCCAACCAACUGGCAGAUUACUUUGCCCAGCAGGCUAUGACCAUGGAUUUUCAGACUGAGAAUGUUGUUCAUCUUGAUAGUUAUGCCUUACAAAUAUUAAACACUGAUGCUCAUGGAAUUACUUAUCAAAAGGGUGGGAUAACGAUGUUUUAUCUAUGCACACUGCUAAUCUCUUCAUCUACAGGUUCUCCAUGACCACGAUUGGAUA